AAGCUCAACCAUGAUUUACUUCACCGAGCCUUGAAUCUCACAUACAAAUUUACACGGCUUUUUGUUAAAGCUGACACAUGCACAAAACCUAAAUGAAAAACAGAAUUGAAACCCUGUGUAGCGCAAUAUUCAAUUGAAAACCUAAUCACGCAAAGAUAAGAAACGUUGCACAAUCCUUGAAGAGACUCGAAUUUAGCCAAACAAUUCCUGAUAGAUUUACAUUACAAGAUGGAUCUGUAUCAUGUUACCUUGAAAGAAUUGGAACUUUGGAGACAAACCAGAAUCUUAAGUAAAAGUUGCAUAGUUUCCAAGAAGUUUUUUUGAAAAGGGAUGGGUACAGCAGGGGAUAGCAUGAUGUAUUUUGGAGACGGCAGUCCAAGGGGGCAAAAUUUAAUCUUAGAUGUUCAUAUAAUGUAUGAAUCAACAUGUUCAUUGAUCCAACAAUAGCAACAAUAAAAAAUAGAAAUUUCUGAGUUCAGUAUUCAAUGUUUUCAUUACAACAAAAGCCUUGAAGGAUACAAAAUCAUAAAUGAAAGUGUAAUGACUAACAUACUUUUCUUACUACUGUAUACUCUCACUUUCUAAUUUUUUGCUCUCCUACAGCUGUAUGCAGUCAUAGAAUUGCUCACUGAUGAAAUGGGUAACAACAGGAUGCUGCCUUUCAACAGGAGUAUGUUAUCAUUUCAUAAUUAUUGCUCUGAGAUGAUCGAAGGAUUUCUUAGAUAUCUCUAGGAUGGUUUGACACCCUGGAGACGUUAGGCAUCCCCUGCUAUUCUAUUGAUGUUUCGACAGGCAAAGAUUUGAGUUACUAGCUAUAUAGAAUCUCAGAUACAAACAAUAUAUUUCUACUUCUGAAAAGUCCUCCUUAAGAUAGAAACUAUAUAUUUUCAAUCUUGAUUCAGAAUAAACUUUACUAUCUUAGUAGGAUCAGUUGUCUUAGUCUUAUAUACCCACUGAGCCCUUGAACCUUCACUUAAACAUAAACAUUCAGCUGUUACUCCAGCAUUAUUACUAAGUUGUUGCUAUUGAACUCUGCAGUAGAUUCUUAUGUGUGGUUAUCAGAAUAUCUAAAACUGUUUUACACAAUAGUAGGAGGAUUCACAUAAUCACUUAAAACUGGUGAUUAUAAAUAUGAUUUUAAAUUAUCAUCGCAGAAGCACAGAUUAUCUGUCACAAGCAAAAAAGGUCAGACAAAUAUGCACAGUGCCUUACCCAAAUUCACGCCCCCCACCCACAACUUUCUAAAUAAUGGGCACGCACCUAUAAUUGUAGGAUGAAAAUCUUAAAAAUAAUAUGUUUUGUUGGGGAUCGGAAAAAUAGGAGAUUUGCAUCAAGAUAUGAUCGUACGAUAAAGUUUAAAGGUGAUUUCAAUUUCUUAACUGUUACAUCUACCUGCUU
Long non-coding RNA from Cryptomeria japonica (Japanese cedar), 1398 nucleotides. RefSeq lists it as uncharacterized. Lineage: Eukaryota; Viridiplantae; Streptophyta; Pinopsida; Cupressales; Cupressaceae. The transcript is spliced from 4 exons. The record is from RefSeq and is a predicted model, not a curated record.